Molecule: long non-coding RNA, 1430 nt
Filed under: Cricetulus griseus (Chinese hamster)
Lineage: Eukaryota; Metazoa; Chordata; Mammalia; Rodentia; Cricetidae
Description: lncRNA (ENSCGRG00015016935.2)
Source: RNAcentral
GCAGAACUUGGCUUGGAGAAUGCUAUAUAUUCAAAGAUGGGAGAUGAGUGAGAAGUGGGAAGUAGAGAGGGCACAAAAUGUCUUGGAACUGUGGUGUGUAAUUCAAUAACAUCUUAAGCAGGACGGAAUCUAAGCUUCUGGAAGAAAAAAAAUGAUUGCUUUGAUUGCUUGGUAAUGGUGGAAAACAACAACUUAGAAAAGACAGAAGUGAAUUGAAAGACCUUUUCCAGGUUUGGGGCCAAGAGACUCUCAGAAUAGUCUCGACAAACAGGGACUCCACCAGAUCUAAGCACAUGUAAUCUCAAGAGGACUGGCGUCUGAAAGAGUGCAGUCCCUGAGGCAUAGGGCCCAAUAAAUAAACCACCAGUGAAGAAGACGCUUACCCAUGUGUGGCACUGUGAGCCUCACUGAUCAGCAGGGCUUACUCUGUGGGCUCUGCUUUUUGGGGGACCUGAGGAGCCUACAGGGACACAGAAUCUGGAACCACUCCUGGAGAAAGGGAGACUUGGGAGAAAGAAGUUGAGCUGUUCUCGUGAGUCACUGAUGAAUAGGCACGUCUCAAGCCCAGAUGGAAAAGAGAUGUCAGAAGUGUUGAGAAGCAUUUGCUGCUGGCCAGUCCUUCCUUCGCUUUGUAGGGAGACACAUGCCAUUUCCAGAGGGAAAUUUUCCAGUCUAAUAAGGCUACCAUUCCCAAAUCCAAGAGUCAGUCAAAUGGGCGACGCCUGAAACCAAACUCUCCCAGACCCCGGAUUUCCAGUGCAUAAUUUAUCCUUGAGAAAGAGUUCUACUUUGGGGAAAUACUGCUUGGGUUUGCAAGUAACCUGGAACAUGAGUCUCAUUUCACAUUCAAUCUCACAGCUCCUUUCAUUGCUAACAAACCCACCCCAUGAGCUCCUACUGCAGCCAAGGCCAACAAUUCUUCGGUGUUAGUCCUUAUAGUGGCACUUUAGCAAUGCUCAUUCUUACACCCACAGUGGAAGCCUGUGUCCUGAGAGCCCUGGGCCCUGGAUACAGCAGCAUCAACUAUGAAUCUAUCAAUCUGAGUUGUCUUGUUCACUAGCCCAUUUGGCAAGACAAGUGGUAUGUCUUAGGAUUUCUAUUGCUGUAAUAAAACAACAUGACCCAAAGUAACUUAGGCAGGAAAGGGUUUAUUUCAUCUUACAACUUGUAGUCUAUCCUCCAGGGAAUUCAGGUCAGGAACUUGGAGGCAGGAACUGAAACAGAAGAAAUAGAGAAUGCUGCUUACUAACUUGUUUUGUUCCUUGUGGGUAGUUCGGCCACAGUUUCUUAGAGAAUGUAGAACCAUCAGUCCACCAUCUACAGUGACCUGGACCCUCCAAUAUCAAUCAUCAACCAAGAAAAUUCCCUACAGGCCAUUCUGGUGGGGGCAUCUUCUCACUUGAGGCAUCCUCUUCCCAAAUGACUCUUGC